This is a long non-coding RNA of Bactrocera neohumeralis, 415 nucleotides long. RefSeq lists it as uncharacterized. The record is from RefSeq and is a predicted model, not a curated record. Lineage: Eukaryota; Metazoa; Arthropoda; Insecta; Diptera; Tephritidae. The transcript has 2 exons.
UUUUUCCUGCACCCGGGACGUAGACAGGCGAGUACAGCGGAAGAACAGCAAGGAAAACGGAAAAGGAACAUUAAAAUCUAUCUACAUUACCUCUUCAAACUUCUUUGUGAUGAGCGUGAAUGCCGAGAAGAUCGCGCUGGUCGUGCCCGACACAGUGACAAUGCGCUCCGGGCAUGAACCGUCCGAGAUGUUGAUCUUUGCGCCAGACUAUGCCGUGGAAAAUGUGACGAAAAGAGUAUGAAAAUAUCAAAUUGUAUUAAUUUAUAAAAACAACAAAUACAAAAAAGAAAUUAUAUAAUUACCUCCUCACGAAAUCUGUUCACAAUCUCGCCCUUUUUGCCAAUAAUGCUGCCGACUUCCUGCAAAUAAACAAAAAUACAACAUCAAUAAAGGUUUUUGACAAUCACCAAAAAUA